GCAUAACGCGAAGAACCUUACCUAGGCUUGACAUGCAUCUCUAAGCACGUGAAAGCGUGUGACCCUUCGGGGAACUUGCACAGGUGCUGCAUGGCCGUCGUCAGCUCGUGUCGUGAGAUGUUGGGUUAAGUCCCGCAACGAGCGCAACCCUUGUGACUAGUUGCCAGCACGUUAUGGUGGGAACUCUAGUCAGACUGCCCAGAUCAACUGGGAGGAAGGUGGGGAUGACGUCAAGUCCGUAUGGCCCUUACGCCUAGGGCUGCACACGUACUACAAUGCCCAGUACAAUGUGAACCGAGACCGCGAGGUGGAGGAAAUCAAUAAAACUGGGCCCAGUUCAGAUUGUAGGCUGCAACUCGCCUACAUGAAGUCGGAAUCGCUAGUAAUGGCGCAUCAGCAACGGCGCCGUGAAUACGUUCCCGGGUCUUGUACACACCG
Molecule: ribosomal RNA, 438 nt
Filed under: uncultured bacterium
Lineage: Bacteria
Description: bacterial SSU rRNA
Rfam family: Bacterial small subunit ribosomal RNA
Source: RNAcentral